GAGUGAACGCUGGCGGUAGGCCUAACACAUGCAAGUCGAACGGCAGCACAGUAAGAGCUUGCUCUUACGGGUGGCGAGUGGCGGACGGGUGAGGAAUACAUCGGAAUCUACUUUUUCGUGGGGGAUAACGUAGGGAAACUUACGCUAAUACCGCAUACGACCUACGGGUGAAAGCAGGGGAUCUUCGGACCUUGCGCGAUUGAAUGAGCCGAUGUCGGAUUAGCUAGUUGGCGGGGUAAAGGCCCACCAAGGCGACGAUCCGUAGCUGGUCUGAGAGGAUGAUCAGCCACACUGGAACUGAGACACGGUCCAGACUCCUACGGGAGGCAGCAGUGGGGAAUAUUGGACAAUGGGCGCAAGCCUGAUCCAGCCAUACCGCGUGGGUGAAGAAGGCCUUCGGGUUGUAAAGCCCUUUCGUUGGGAAAGAAAAGCAGCAGGUUAAUACCCCGCUGUUCUGACGGUACCCAAAGAAUAAGCACCGGCUAACUUCGUG
Molecule: ribosomal RNA, 493 nt
Filed under: uncultured bacterium
Lineage: Bacteria
Description: partial 16S ribosomal RNA
Rfam family: Bacterial small subunit ribosomal RNA
Source: RNAcentral